UACGUAGGGUUCAAGCGUUAUCCGGAAUUACUGGGCGUAAAGAGUUGCGUAGGUGGCACGGUAAGCAGAUAGUGAAAUUACUCCGCUCAACGGAGUGCACAUUGUCUGAACUGCCGAGCUUGAGCAUGAGAGAGGUAGCUGGAAUUCCUAGUGUAGGAGUGAAAUCCGUAGAUAUUAGGAGGAACACCGAUGGCGUAGGCAGGCUACUGGCUCAUUGCUGACACUGAGGCACGAAAGCGUGGGGAGCGAACGGG
Molecule: ribosomal RNA, 254 nt
Filed under: uncultured bacterium
Lineage: Bacteria
Description: partial 16S ribosomal RNA
Rfam family: Bacterial small subunit ribosomal RNA
Source: RNAcentral